AGCCCCCGCGCCCAUCCUGCCCGGCCUCUCCGCCGCCACCCUCACCAGCGCCACCCAGGUUGUGGUCACACUGCCCGCCGCCAGCAGCGUCCCCGCCACCUUCAGUGUCAGCGACUGCAACGCCGCCGUUGACCUGGUCAGUGCCGCCGGCGCGUCAAAGGACACUCCCUUCGCCGCCUGCGCGCUGGGCUCUGGCAAUGCCACCCUCAUCCUCAACCUGACCGCCAGUGCCUACGCCAUCGGCGACACCGUGAGCGUGAAGGCAUCUCAGACCACCCUCAAGGUGGGCAACACCAGCUACACACCCUACUCCGUGCCCAUCACGCCCGUCCUGCUGCCCACCACCACCGCCGUGCUGGUCAGCGAGACCUCCAUCUCCGUCACCCUGCCCACCGGCUUCAACAGCUACCUGCCUUCCACCGCAAACGCCUCGGACUGCAACGCGGCAUUCGUGCUCGUUUCGGCUACCGGCACCGCCAAGACCGCCCCCUACACCAGCUGCACUGUCUCAGGCACCACCCUGACCCUGGGCGUCGCCGCCGGUAC
RNAcentral lists this long non-coding RNA (546 nucleotides) under Chlamydomonas reinhardtii. RNAcentral's name for it is "long non-coding RNA (CREI_LNC001405)". The record is from RNAcentral. Lineage: Eukaryota; Viridiplantae; Chlorophyta; Chlorophyceae; Chlamydomonadales; Chlamydomonadaceae.